Molecule: long non-coding RNA, 2206 nt
Organism: Lolium perenne
Lineage: Eukaryota; Viridiplantae; Streptophyta; Magnoliopsida; Poales; Poaceae
Source: RefSeq, a predicted model, not a curated record
CGAAAUCUCCACCCAGUGGCCAGUACCAACCCGCGGCGCACCUCGCAUCCAUUUCCGGCCAGCGCCGCACCCGUCCAACAUCCAUCUCCAUUCUCUAGCCGCCGGCGAGCCCUGCCCCGCACCCAUACACCGUCGUCGACGCGCCCCGCCCUGAAUCCAUCACCGGCCUCCGGCGAGCUCUGCUAGCCUCCACUCCGGCCGACAGCGCCCUUUUCCGCACCCAAUCUCCGGUCGCCUCCUAAAACUGGAAUCCGUCGCGUCCGAGCAACUGGGUUCGGUGCGUGCCUGGUCCAAGGCGGCGGCCGAUGGUGUAUGGGCCAAGAUCGGGUGGAGGGUCCUGGUUGCCGCGCGCGGUGGAGGGCCCAGGCGGCCGGGCGCGGGCAAGAAGAGGGUAUGGCUCCACCAGCCUGGCGUGGUUCAUGGGAGGGCAUGGCUGCUGCUGUCCGCGCGCGCGGGAGGCGAAUGGAGGGUCUUUGCUGCUGGUGGGCGCGGAAGGGGUUCCGCUGGUGGUCGCUUGUCCUCGAUUUGCCGUCGACCCGUCAUAGAUUCUUGCUCGUGGACUCGCCGGAGAUAUAUAGGAUUAUCUAAGGUUUUCCAGUGCAUAUGAGAGGUUGUUUUUCUUCUACUUGACGAGUUCAUGGUCACUUUUUCGUUCUGAAUUUCAGUGUAUGAUUUCUUGUUCACUUCAGUUUCUUUUGUGUAUCUGUAUCAGAGAUUGGUAUAAGGAGGAUUAGUGCUAUAGUAUUUUUAGUUUCAACAUUGUGAACAAUCUGGAUUGUGGUUCAUUUGUGUAUGUACUGAGCUAGAAGUAACUGUCUGUAAAUGGGAAGUUAGUCUUUGCCAAGCUAGAAAUAAUUGUAUGUUCAUGGGAUGUUACUCUUUGCCAAGCUAGCAGCUAUUAUGUUUGAUGGGAUGAUACUCCUUGUUAAGCUAGUAGUAAUUUUUUGUGUAGUUUGAUGUAAAUCCAUAUAUUAGACUAGACGUAAUUAUGUGUUCUUGGGAUGUUACUCUUUGUCAAGUUAGAAGUAUUUUCUUUUGUGUUCUUGGUUUAACAUCCAUAUGUCAGAGUAAAAGUAAUUACAUGUUGGUUGGAUGUUACUUCUUGCACUGUCAAACUUUUUGCCCCAAACCUGCUGCAACUUUUUUUGAUUUUGUUGUCUCUGAACUAGGCUACUCAUUAAGAGUAAGUGUAGUUUGGUCUGGAUGUUAGUCUGCAUUGCCCACAGUACCUGCUGCUACACACGGCGUUGCCAUAAACUUUAUUUGUACUUACUGCUGCAAAGUUGUUCUUUACCUCAUGAAUAGAAACACAAAUAUGAUGAACUUGAGUCUGCUAUCGGACCGAAUACCCUUGUUUGCAACUGGAUUAAGCCUGUCAUCAGUCAAAAAACAAGUUAUUCUGCUUCUGGUGUCUUCACAUCAUUUACCUAUUAUUGAAGCAAGAGUAAACUGAGUUUCUCCUGAAUUAGCAGUAGUGGAGUAGUAUAGGCACAACCAACAUGGCUCCUCGCCAGCAGGGCGUGCAUCACUUAGCCAUGAAUCAUCUGGGUACGAGCUUUCCUUCAUCCAGCUGCUACCUGCCAGGCUGCUCCACCCACAGCGUAGAUCUUUUUUGGUCUCUCGGUACUUAAGUAACCCGUCGUGUUUAACCAAGCGCGUUGCUAACUGGUAGCAAAGACUGUCGAUGCUGCCUGAGUGCCCGUGUCGCUGCUGGUUCUUGUUCCUAGCCGUGUGUGCACUUACAAGUUGGUGUUUCACCUAGACUUGAGACGUGCUCUCAACCAUAAUUAAGUAGCUUUUACUUGUACCGAAGUAACUCUAUGUUUUAUAUCGAAAUAGUAACACUAUAUUUCCAGUCAUAUUGUAGCUUUUAAUUUUAUUGCGAAGUAAUUUUAUAUUUUGAGCUAUAUAGUUGCUUUUACUUGUACCGAAGUAACUCUAUGUUUUAUAGUGAUGUAACUUUAUAUUUUGAGUCAUAUAGUAGCUUUUACUUGUACCGAAAUAACUAUGUUUAUAGCGAAGUAACUCUGGUCAUAUACUUUUACUGGUACCGAAGUAUCUUUAUAUCUGAGCGAGAAGUAACUCUUUAUUUUGAGACCUAUAGUAGCUUAUACUUCUCCCAAAGUAACUUUAAAUUUGAGCCAGAAGUAACUCUACAUUUUUAGACAUACAGUAUCUUAUAUUUGCAUAAAAGUAACUUUAUAUU